RNAcentral lists this long non-coding RNA (247 nucleotides) under Gossypium barbadense (sea-island cotton). Its description in RNAcentral is "long non-coding RNA (GBAR_LNC012668)". The record is from RNAcentral. Lineage: Eukaryota; Viridiplantae; Streptophyta; Magnoliopsida; Malvales; Malvaceae.
AUUGUUCGAGGGCCAUUUUGAAAUGAACCUGAGUAGACCACACGGUCGCACACACACGGACAUGUGCUAGGCCGUGUGGCCAAGUCAGUUUCGAGCACAAGCUAGACACACAAGCGUGUGACUGGCCGUGUGACCAAGUUAGUAACCUCCCUAAUUUUCACACAGCCAGGCACACAGGUGUGUCUCAUGGUCGUGUGGACAAGUUAAUAUGUAUGCCCUGUUUUGACACGGCCUAGACACACGGGCG